GCAUGAUCCGCGACAGUGUUCACGAUUAUGC
RNAcentral lists this small RNA (31 nucleotides) under Shewanella benthica. Its description in RNAcentral is "IRE_II". It matches the Rfam family "Iron response element II". Rfam says of the family: IRE, TFRC, SLC40A1, SDHB, SLC11A2, CDC42BPA, ACO2, ALAS2_H.SAPIENS, CDC14A, EPAS1, ALAS2, qoxD, Hao1, NDUFS1, transferrin, Aconitate. Lineage: Bacteria; Pseudomonadati; Pseudomonadota; Gammaproteobacteria; Alteromonadales; Shewanellaceae. The record is from RNAcentral.